AUUAGAAUAGAGUUGUCUGUGAUGGUGGAGAUUGGCUGAAAAGGGGCUCAAGGGAUCUUUCUGGUUGGUGGAAAUAUCCUGUCUUGAUUGGAGCUUUAGUUAUGCAGAAUCAGUAAAUGGCCAUAGUCUUUUCAAGAUACAUAAUUCUACAAAAAAAUACAACCAAGGCUUCAAACAACUAUAAAACAAAGUGAUGACAUUACAGAUAAAAUGAUAACAGAGUUUUCAACAGACUGACGCUCCCUUAAAGUUCAUUUUAGUCGAGUAAGUCAUCUGAAUCAUAACUGGAAAUGCGUCUAAGCUACUGCCCAUAUCUCUGUGAUAUACUUCAAAAUAACCUUGGUUUGAAUUAAGCUUGCAGAUAAAUGAUCCUUGACUAACAUAGAUCUCAAAAGUAUGAAAAGCUUUUGCUUGGGAAUGCCUGCAUGAAGAGACUAUGAAGGACAAAAAUAUCUUAAUAUGGAGCAGAAAUCUUAAAGGAAGAAAUCCAUGGUUAAGAAGACAACUUGUCACUAUUCUCUAAAAUUUGAGCAUUUAAAUGACAAAGCAACAACAUAGUGA
Molecule: long non-coding RNA, 561 nt
Filed under: Equus asinus (donkey)
Lineage: Eukaryota; Metazoa; Chordata; Mammalia; Perissodactyla; Equidae
Description: lncRNA (ENSEASG00005035386.1)
Source: RNAcentral